This 499-nucleotide ribosomal RNA is filed under the name uncultured bacterium. RNAcentral describes it as "partial 16S ribosomal RNA". It matches the Rfam family "Bacterial small subunit ribosomal RNA", at positions 28 to 507 of the family's 1533-position model. The record is from RNAcentral.
GACGAACGCUGGCGGCGUGCCUAAUACAUCCAAGUCGAGCGAAGUUUUUCUGGUGCUUGCACCGGAAAAACUUAGCGGCGACCGGGUGAGUAACACGUAAAGAACCUGCCUCAUAGACUGGGACAACUAUUGGAAACGAUAGCUAAUACCGGAUAACAGCAUUAACUGCAUGGUUGAUGUUUAAAAGUUGGUUUUGCUAACACUAUGAGAUGGCUUUGCGGUGCAUUAGCUAGUUGGUGGGGUAAAGGCCUACCAAGGCGACGAUGCAUAGCCGACCUGAGAGGGUGAUCGGCCACACUGGGACUGAGACACGGCCCAGACUCCUACGGGAGGCAGCAGUAGGGAAUCUUCCGCAAUGGGCGAAAGCCUGACGGAGCAACGCCGCGUGAGUGAAGAAGGAUUUCGGUUCGUAAAGCUCUGUUGUUAGGGAAGAAUGAUUGUGUAGUAACGAUACACAGUAGAGACGGUACCUAACCAGAAAGCCACGGCUAACUACGUG